This 253-nucleotide ribosomal RNA is filed under the name uncultured bacterium. RNAcentral's name for it is "partial 16S ribosomal RNA". It matches the Rfam family "Bacterial small subunit ribosomal RNA", at positions 524 to 776 of the family's 1533-position model. The record is from RNAcentral.
UACGUAGGGUGCAAGCGUUAAUCGGAAUUACUGGGCGUAAAGCGUGCGCAGGCGGUAAUGUAAGACAGAUGUGAAAUCCCCGGGCUCAACCUGGGAACUGCAUUUGUGACUGCAUGGCUGGAGUGCGGCAGAGGGGGAUGGAAUUCCGCGUGUAGCAGUGAAAUGCGUAGAUAUGCGGAGGAACACCGAUGGCGAAGGCAAUCCCCUGGGCCUGCACUGACGCUCAUGCACGAAAGCGUGGGGAGCAAACAGG